RNAcentral lists this ribosomal RNA (761 nucleotides) under uncultured archaeon. RNAcentral describes it as "bacterial SSU rRNA". It matches the Rfam family "Archaeal small subunit ribosomal RNA", at positions 102 to 859 of the family's 1478-position model. The record is from RNAcentral.
GGAUAACCUGCCCUUGGGACCGGCAUAACCCCGGGAAACUGGGGAUAAUUCCGGAUACCGCAUAUCUGCUGGAAUGCUUUAUGCGUAAAAUGGAUUCGUCUGCCCAAGGAUGGGUCUGCGGCCUAUCAGGUAGUAGUGGGUGUAAUGUACCUACUAGCCAACGACGGGUACGGGUUGUGAGAGCAAGAGCCCGGAGAUGGAUUCUGAGACAUGAAUCCAGGCCCUACGGGGCGCAGCAGGCGCGAAAACUUUACAAUGCGGGAAACCGUGAUAAGGGGACACCGAGUGCCAGCAACAUUUGUUGGCUGUCCGGGUGUGUAAACUACACCUGUUAGCAAGGGCCGGGCAAGACCGGUGCCAGCCGCCGCGGUAACACCGGCGGCCCGAGUGGUGAUCGUGAUUAUUGGGUCUAAAGGGUCCGUAGCCGGUUUGGUCAGUCCUCCGGGAAAUCUGAUAGCUCAACUGUUAGGCUUUCGGGGGAUACUGCCAGACUUGGAACCGGGAGAGGUAAGAGGUACUACAGGGGUAGGAGUGAAAUCUUGUAAUCCCUGUGGGACCACCUGUGGCGAANGCGUCUUACCAGAACGGGUUCGACGGUGANGGACGAAAGCUGGGGGCACGAACCGGAUUAGAUACCCGGGUAGUCCCAGCCGUAAACGAUGCUCGCUAGGUGUCANGCAUGGCGCGACCGUGUCUGGUGCCNCAGGGAANCCGUGAAGCGAGCCACCUGGGGAANUNCGGCCGCCAAGGCUGAAACUUAA